Molecule: ribosomal RNA, 110 nt
Filed under: Sediminibacterium sp.
Lineage: Bacteria; Pseudomonadati; Bacteroidota; Chitinophagia; Chitinophagales; Chitinophagaceae
Source: RNAcentral
UAUGGUGGUUUUGCCGGGGGUGUUCACCUCUCCCAUUCCGAACAGAGAAGUUAAGUCCCCCAUGGCCGAUGGUACUCGCAUCUAGCUGGGAGAGUAGGUAGCUGCCAUAU